UGCGCAGGCGGGAGGAUAGGUCGGAUGUGAAAACCCUGGGCUUAACCCAGGGCCUGCAUCCGAAACCAUUCUUCUUGAGUAUCGGAGAGGGAAGCGGAACUCCAGGUGUAGGGGUGAAAUCCGUAGAUAUCUGGGGGAACACCGGUGGCGAAGGCGGCUUCCUGGACGAAUACUGACGCUCAGGCACGAAGGCUAGGGGAGCAAACA
RNAcentral lists this ribosomal RNA (207 nucleotides) under uncultured bacterium. Its description in RNAcentral is "partial 16S ribosomal RNA". It matches the Rfam family "Bacterial small subunit ribosomal RNA", at positions 568 to 774 of the family's 1533-position model. The record is from RNAcentral.